Oryza meridionalis is the source of this 109-nucleotide non-coding RNA. The record is from Rfam. NCBI's taxonomy places the organism in Eukaryota, Viridiplantae, Streptophyta, Magnoliopsida, Poales, Poaceae.
CCGCUCCCUCUCAAUGAGCCGCCAGAUCUCCCAGUGAGGAGGCCAGGGCCGCCAGAUCCUGUAACCCCAGUCUCCUCACCGGCGGAUCUGGCGCUCAGAGAGGUACAAG